This 74-nucleotide transfer RNA is filed under the name Candidatus Dojkabacteria bacterium CG_4_9_14_3_um_filter_150_Dojkabacteria_WS6_41_13. RNAcentral's name for it is "tRNA-Ala". It matches the Rfam family "tRNA". From Rfam's summary of the family: Transfer RNA (tRNA) molecules are approximately 80 nucleotides in length. Their secondary structure includes four short double-helical elements and three loops (D, anti-codon, and T loops). Further hydrogen bonds mediate the characteristic L-shaped molecular structure. tRNAs have two regions of fundamental functional importance: the anti-codon, which is responsible for specific mRNA codon recognition, and the 3' end, to which the tRNAs corresponding amino acid is attached (by aminoacyl-tRNA synthetases). tRNAs cope with the degeneracy of the genetic code in two manners: having more than one tRNA (with a specific anti-codon) for a particular amino acid; and 'wobble' base-pairing, i.e. permitting non-standard base-pairing at the 3rd anti-codon position. The record is from RNAcentral.
GGGCCUGUAGCUCAGUUUGGUAGAGCACUUCAUUCGCACUGAAGGGGUCAGGGGUUCGACUCCCCUCAGGUCCA